Molecule: ribosomal RNA, 90 nt
Filed under: Astyanax mexicanus (Mexican tetra)
Lineage: Eukaryota; Metazoa; Chordata; Actinopteri; Characiformes; Acestrorhamphidae
Source: RNAcentral
GCUUACGGUCACACUACCCUGAGAACGCCCGAUCUCGUCUGAUCUCGGAAGCUAAGCAGGGUUUGGCCUGGUUAGUACUUGGAUGGAGAC